GAACGCACCUUGCGCUCCUUGGUAUUCCGAGGAGCAUGCCUGUUUGAGUGUCAUUAAUAUAUCAACCUCUUCAGCUUUUGCUUGUCGAGUGUUGGAUGUGGGGGGCGUUUUUGCUGGCCUUUUGAGGUCGGCUCCCCUGAAAUGCAUUAGCAGAACAAAUUUGUUGACUCCGUUCAUUGGUGUGAUAACUAUCUACGCUAUUGACGGGUGAAGGCAGAGUUCAGCUCCUAAUAGUCCAUUGACUUGGACAACUUUUUCAUUUAAUGUGACCUCAAAUCAGGUAGGACUACCCGCUGAACUUAAG
Molecule: unclassified non-coding RNA, 304 nt
Filed under: Cortinarius cotoneus
Lineage: Eukaryota; Fungi; Basidiomycota; Agaricomycetes; Agaricales; Cortinariaceae
Description: sequence contains 5.8S rRNA gene
Rfam family: 5.8S ribosomal RNA (bases 1-53)
Source: RNAcentral